RNAcentral lists this ribosomal RNA (491 nucleotides) under uncultured bacterium. RNAcentral describes it as "partial 16S ribosomal RNA". It matches the Rfam family "Bacterial small subunit ribosomal RNA", at positions 29 to 506 of the family's 1533-position model. The record is from RNAcentral.
AGUGAACGCUGGCGGUAGGCCUAACACAUGCAAGUCGAACGGCAGCACAGUAAGAGCUUGCUCUUACGGGUGGCGAGUGGCGGACGGGUGAGGAAUACAUCGGAAUCUACUUUUUCGUGGGGGAUAACGUAGGGAAACUUACGCUAAUACCGCAUACGACCUACGGGUGAAAGCAGGGGAUCUUCGGACCUUGCGCGAUUGAAUGAGCCGAUGUCGGAUUAGCUAGUUGGCGGGGUAAAGGCCCACCAAGGCGACGAUCCGUAGCUGGUCUGAGAGGAUGAUCAGCCACACUGGAACUGAGACACGGUCCAGACUCCUACGGGAGGCAGCAGUGGGGAAUAUUGGACAAUGGGCGAAAGCCUGAUCCAGCCAUACCGCGUGGGUGAAGAAGGCCUUCGGGUGGUAAAGCCCUUUUGUUGGGAAAGAAAAGCAGCAGGUUAAUACCCCGCUGUUCUGACGGUACCCGAAGAAUAAGCACCGGCUAACUUCGU